GAUGAACGCUGGCGGCGUGCCUAAUACAUGCAAGUCGUACGGAAAGGCCCUUCGGGGUACUCGAGUGGCGGACGGCUGAGUAACGCGUGGGAACGUGCCCCAAAGUGAGGGAUAACGCACCGAAAGGUGUGCUAAUACCGCAUAUGGUCUUCGGAUUAAAGCUUCGGCGCUUUGGGAGCGGCCCGCGUACGAUUAGAUAGUUGGUGAGGGAAUGGCUCACCAAGUCGACGAUCGUUAGCUGGUCUGAGAGGAUGAUCAGCCAGACUGGGACUGGGACACGGCCCAGACUCCUACGGGAGGCAGCAGUAAGAAUCUUCCACAAUGGGGGCAACCCUGAUGGAGCAACGCCGCGUGCAGGAUGAAGGUUUUCGGAUCGUAAACUGCUUUUAUAAGUGAAGAAUAUGACGGUAACUUAUGAAUAAGGAUCGGCUAACUACGUGCCAGCCGCCGCAGUAA
This 456-nucleotide ribosomal RNA is filed under the name uncultured bacterium. RNAcentral's name for it is "partial 16S ribosomal RNA". It matches the Rfam family "Bacterial small subunit ribosomal RNA", at positions 28 to 523 of the family's 1533-position model. The record is from RNAcentral.